Non-coding RNA from Odocoileus virginianus texanus, 848 nucleotides. The record is from RefSeq and is a predicted model, not a curated record. NCBI's taxonomy places the organism in Eukaryota, Metazoa, Chordata, Mammalia, Artiodactyla, Cervidae.
UGUGGAAGGGAUAUUAUGAAUAUUCAGGGAAAAGAUAGCCUGUGACCCCAACUGUCAAACUGUUUCAACUCAGCAAGCAGCAAAGUGAACAUGACCUUCAUUGAAGCCUCCCAGGGGAGCUGAGGUUGACAGGUGUUUACAAGGAGGAGGAGGCCCACUUCUGAAAGCUUUUCAGAUUAAAGAGCCAGUGGAUAUCUUCAUCAGUGACUUAGAGAAUGACAACUGGGAACUGGAUGGUUAUGUAUCAUCCAGACUUGGAAGGGAACGGUUUACUUUUCAAGGUGACAUACACAGAAAAGACUGGGAAAUACAAGCUGGAAAGGCAAGGUAUGCUGCACUUAUGUGAUUUUUCAGAGCAAAUAUCAGAUUGGUCUGCAGAUGAAGGAGCUGAGUGUGAUAGAAAGGAUGUGAUUUGAAAGAAAUAGAAACAAAAAUAAUGGGCAUGUAUUUUACAACUGGUUAAAAAAAAUUUUCCUUCACUGGCAGCAAAAUAGAAAAUAUCAGCUGGCAUAAAUGCAAUAAAUAUGCAAGACACAGAAUAUCCUUAAUUUACAAAGUGGAAAUGCAAAAGAAUAAACAAACUACAUUACCCUAAGAAUAUCAUUAAAUACAAGUAAGUAAAAAUGGCCAAUAAACUAUGAAAAGAUUUUAACUUGAAAAAGAUCAUUUUCAGCCAAGAGAAUGUUGAAGUUUCUUAAAAAUGUUUUGGAGUGGACUAGAAAAAGGCACCUGAAUGUUCAUUUUUGGUGAGUAUGUGAGAUAUAUAAACUUGUCAAUAUUCUUUUAUCAAUGAUUCUACCUCUAAAAUUUUUUUUUCCUUUUCUUUUUUUUCCAGGUAUUUUUAUUAG